Molecule: transfer RNA, 77 nt
Filed under: Candidatus Roizmanbacteria bacterium CG_4_10_14_0_2_um_filter_36_9
Lineage: Bacteria; Candidatus Roizmaniibacteriota
Description: tRNA-Arg
Rfam family: tRNA
About the family: Transfer RNA (tRNA) molecules are approximately 80 nucleotides in length. Their secondary structure includes four short double-helical elements and three loops (D, anti-codon, and T loops). Further hydrogen bonds mediate the characteristic L-shaped molecular structure. tRNAs have two regions of fundamental functional importance: the anti-codon, which is responsible for specific mRNA codon recognition, and the 3' end, to which the tRNAs corresponding amino acid is attached (by aminoacyl-tRNA synthetases). tRNAs cope with the degeneracy of the genetic code in two manners: having more than one tRNA (with a specific anti-codon) for a particular amino acid; and 'wobble' base-pairing, i.e. permitting non-standard base-pairing at the 3rd anti-codon position.
Source: RNAcentral
GAUCCCGUAGCUUAAUUGGAUAGAGCAUCAGAUUGCGGAUCUGAAGGUUGGUGGUUCGAAUCCACUCGGGAUCACAA